GGUGGAGUGGUGUAGAGGUUAGCACACCCAACCGGGAUUUGGGAGGCCCAGAAUUCAAAGCCCAGAAUUCAAAUCCUGGCUCCGCUG
Molecule: transfer RNA, 87 nt
Filed under: Ixodes scapularis (black-legged tick)
Lineage: Eukaryota; Metazoa; Arthropoda; Arachnida; Ixodida; Ixodidae
Rfam family: tRNA
About the family: Transfer RNA (tRNA) molecules are approximately 80 nucleotides in length. Their secondary structure includes four short double-helical elements and three loops (D, anti-codon, and T loops).
Source: Rfam by way of RNAcentral